RNAcentral lists this transfer RNA (72 nucleotides) under Ovis aries (sheep). It matches the Rfam family "tRNA". Rfam says of the family: Transfer RNA (tRNA) molecules are approximately 80 nucleotides in length. Their secondary structure includes four short double-helical elements and three loops (D, anti-codon, and T loops). Lineage: Eukaryota; Metazoa; Chordata; Mammalia; Artiodactyla; Bovidae. The record is from Rfam by way of RNAcentral.
UCCCUGGUGGCUCAGUGGUAAAAGCAUCUGCCUGCAAAGCAGAAGAUGUGGGUUCAAUCCCUGGGUUGGGAA